This 253-nucleotide ribosomal RNA is filed under the name uncultured bacterium. RNAcentral describes it as "partial 16S ribosomal RNA". It matches the Rfam family "Bacterial small subunit ribosomal RNA", at positions 524 to 776 of the family's 1533-position model. The record is from RNAcentral.
UACGUAGGGUGCGAGCGUUAAUCGGAAUUACUGGGCGUAAAGCGUGCGCAGGCGGUUUUGUAAGACAGGUGUGAAAUCCCCGGGCUUAACCUGGGAACUGCAUUUGUGACUGCAAGACUAGAGUGUGGCAGAGGAGGGUAGAAUUCCACGUGUAGCAGUGAAAUGCGUAGAUAUGUGGAGGAAUACCGAUGGCGAAGGCGGCAUCCUGGACCAACACUGACGCUGAGGAGCGAAAGCCAGGGGAGCAAACGGG